CCUACGGGAGGCAGCAGUAGGGAAUCUUCCGCAAUGGACGAAAGUCUGACGGAGCAACGCCGCGUGAACGAUGAAGGCCUUCGGGUCGUAAAGUUCUGUUGUUAGGGAAGAACAAGUGCUAGUUAAAUAAGCUGGCACCUUGACGGUACCUAACCAGAAAGCCACGGCUAACUACGUGCCAGCAGCCGCGGUAAUACGUAGGUGGCAAGCGUUGUCCGGAAUUAUUGGGCGUAAAGCGCGCGCAGGCGGUUUCUUAAGUCUGAUGUGAAAGCCCCCGGCUCAACCGGGGAGGGUCAUUGGAAACUGGGAAACUUGAGUGCAGAAGAGGAAAGUGGAAUUCCAAGUGUAGCGGUGAAAUGCGUAGAGAUUUGGAGGAACACCAGUGGCGAAGGCGACUUUCUGGUCUGUAACUGACGCUGAGGCGCGAAAGCGUGGGGAGCAAACAGGAUUAGAUACCCUGGUAGUCCACGCUGUAAACGAUGAGUGNUAGUAGUUAGUAGGUUACCGGUCCGUUACGUAGUCUGUAGUUAACGUACAUAAGUACACUCCGCCGUCGGGUAGGUACGGUACGGCGACGACGUAGAACGUAACGUAAACGGUAAAGUUAGUUACGGUCGUUGAGACGUUGCCGACGGACGACGACGAGGGAGGAGG
RNAcentral lists this ribosomal RNA (654 nucleotides) under uncultured bacterium. RNAcentral's name for it is "bacterial SSU rRNA". The stretch from base 1 to 552 matches the Rfam family "Bacterial small subunit ribosomal RNA", at positions 338 to 873 of the family's 1533-position model. The record is from RNAcentral.